Molecule: ribosomal RNA, 430 nt
Filed under: uncultured archaeon
Lineage: Archaea
Description: bacterial SSU rRNA
Rfam family: Archaeal small subunit ribosomal RNA
Source: RNAcentral
UACCAGCUCUCCGAGUGGUAGGGAUGAUUAUUGGGCUUAAAGCGUCCGUAGCCGGCUUAGCAAGUUUCCUGUUAAAUUCAGCGACCUAAUCGUUGAGCCGCGGGAAAUACUACUAGGCUAGGAGGCGGGAGAGGUCGACGGUACUUCUGGGGUAGGGGUGAAAUCCUAUAAUCCCGGGAGGACCACCAGUGGCGAAGGCUGUCGACUAGAACGCGCUCGACGGUGAGGGACGAAAGCUGGGGGGAGCGAACCGGAUUAGAUACCCGGGUAGUCCCAGCUGUAAACGAUGCAGGCUAGGUGUUUAGACGGCCACGUGCCGUUCUAGUGCCGCAGGGAAGCCGUUAAGCCUGCCGCCUGGGGAGUACGGCCGCAAGGCUGAAACUUAAAGGAAUUGGCGGGGGAGCACCACAAGGGGUGAAGCUUGCGGUUU